Molecule: long non-coding RNA, 1835 nt
Organism: Sparus aurata (gilthead seabream)
Lineage: Eukaryota; Metazoa; Chordata; Actinopteri; Spariformes; Sparidae
Source: Ensembl
CAGGAAUGACAUGCUAAUUGUCCAUGCCACUGGAUGGAACAGACGGAAGCAGGAUAGCCUUCAUCUUGCAUUGUCAAGCAGAUAUGUCAAGGUAUUGCCCAGAUCACAUGAUCUCAAUUUUUUUAUGAUGACAAUAUGAUGACAAGGCUAAAAUCUUAUUUUGUUUUUGUACUAUAGACCUUCCAAAAGGCUGAGGCUCAGUCACAGAGACUGGAGGAUUUGAGCAGGGAACUUGGCUGUCCUGACAACAUGGUGCAUCAGUGGGUACAUGAUGUCAGACAAUGGGAUACUGAUGGUACAGUAUUUUAUGGAAGUACUGUAGUGAUUCUGGGCUCUAAAUAAAUUUAAGCUUGAAACUCUUUAAAUGUAUAGCCUAGAAGAUGUCUGAAUUGUUUAUUUAUAUUGUUGUUUUUUAAGAUUCUGCAGAUACCGGAUGUGAAGACCAACAUAGCCUUCAGAGAUCCAUUGAACAGAUGUUUCUUGGUGUUCAUCAAAAAAAGCCAGCCUUUAUAAUCAUACUGGUAUGUUUAUAACUUUCGUAAUAUUUUUGUUAGAUAUUUUACAUUAUAUUGUGUGUUAUAUUGCUUGCAGAUGUCUUAUCUAAAUUAUUUUGGUAUCAAUCUGAAAGGCCUUAUUUUUAAGAUGUCUCCCUUUAAAUCUUACAGAUUUUAGGCCAAUCAUGCCUUUCAAGUCAUUAAAUUUUCUAACAUUUAUAUUUUAUUUUUUAUUCAGUUAUAAGUCUUCAACAGUAUUGCAUUUACCUUUUGGAUAUCUGCAUACACACGCUUUUGCAUAAUGUUUUCUGUGUUUUGCAACCGGAUGGACAGCAACAAAAUUCGUCACCUGCGACGAAGGAAACUGGGGGAAGAGAAGAAAAAACUAAAGCAAACAAUCAAGCUCUACAAUGAGCAGGUGCCAGAAGCGGAGCGCAUCGUUGAGGAGAUGGUGGAGAGCAAACUGUCUGUAGUAGGAGGAGACAGUGGGGCGGACAGUCUAAUAUGGCCGUGGGAAGUGAACAGCAGUGAAUACAGCAAUAUCCUCACCAAAAAGAAGAUUUUUGACGCAUACAUGUCGAAAGUGCGGCUUCAAGAGGAAAAGGUCAUUCUGAUGAGGGAGAUGAGACAGCACUGCACCUAUCUCAGAAGGCUGGCUGGGAACAUACGGAGAAUGAUGUCAGACAUGUCUUCUGGCAGAGACGGUGACAGCUUAAGUGAAGAGGGGCAUCAUGGGCUACUGUGUCUUCUCCAGAAAAGGCUUGCUGAUGUGGAGGACAAGUUCCAAGUCACAAGAAGAAGUUACAGCCAGGCUUUAGGACCAAAUGCUGCUUCUCUGCUGGAGGAUUUGCGGGAGGAGAUACCGGAGGGGCAUAAAGAAGAUUAUGAAAGUUCAGAUGACAGUGAUUUUGAAGCUGUGUAAAUUUGUCAGGGUGCUAGGCUGUCGUUCCACUUCCUUGUUGUCUUGUGUGUGUGUGUGUGUGUGUGUGUGUGUGUGCCUGCGCAUCCGCAUCCCAUAGUUGAGUCUUGAGUAUAGUAUUGUAUUUCCUGUCGUUAUUACUGUUAUUACCAUGACAACAAAUGAGGAGGUGUUUUGUUUUUCUCUGUCUUGAAGAUAAAAUAUGUAUGUGAUUGUCCAGUUGUUUGUCAUUUCUUUGUCCAUAGUGCAGUCCAUAUUUCCUUCGUGCAGUCGGGGGGUGGUGGUGGUGCUUGGCGCAGUGACAAUUUCGUGCCAAAAGGCUGUGCGCUGGGAGCUCGCCAACUCCAAACUGUUCUACUUUCGGCACAAGGCGGAGCGCUGAGUGGUAAUUUGGCUGACCAGCGCGCGCCGGCGCAAAACCU